GGCCCCAGCCCGGCCCCCAGUAGGGAGAUGGCGUCCUACGUAGAUAACAGCUUCCGCCAGGCGGUGAUGAAGAACCCCCCUGAGAGGACCCCCCAGGAUCUGGAAAUAGUAUAUUCCUAUUUACAUGGUAUGGAAGCCUUGUCAAACUUGAGGGAGCAUCAACUUAGGUUAAUGUGUGAAACUGUGAGAUAUGAGAGACACGAAGCAAAUGAAGUUUUAUACUACCCCGAUGAUAUUGGGACCUGCUGGUAUAUCCUUCUUUCUGGUUCUGUGUUCAUCAAGGAAUCCAUGUUUCUUCCAAGAAGCAGUUUUGGCAAGCGUUCUGCAGGAAGUUUUAGGCGUGGCUGUGAAUGCAUUGUUUUAGAGCCUUCUGAAAUGAUUGUGGUAAGAGUAUUUCUUGUGAGGACUAUUUUCUCCUGAAAAUUGCAUGAAAUAAAGGCAUUUUACA
Long non-coding RNA from Rhinopithecus bieti (black snub-nosed monkey), 448 nucleotides. Lineage: Eukaryota; Metazoa; Chordata; Mammalia; Primates; Cercopithecidae. The record is from Ensembl.